This 80-nucleotide ribosomal RNA is filed under the name Prioria gilbertii. RNAcentral describes it as "partial 26S ribosomal RNA". It matches the Rfam family "Eukaryotic large subunit ribosomal RNA", at positions 1 to 82 of the family's 3401-position model. Lineage: Eukaryota; Viridiplantae; Streptophyta; Magnoliopsida; Fabales; Fabaceae. The record is from RNAcentral.
GCGACCUCAGCUCAGGCGGGGCCACCCGCUGAGUUUAAGCAUAUCAAUAAGCGGAGGAAAGAAACUACAGGAUUCCCCUA